This 719-nucleotide long non-coding RNA is filed under the name Panthera leo (lion). RNAcentral describes it as "lncRNA (ENSPLOG00000008217.1)". Lineage: Eukaryota; Metazoa; Chordata; Mammalia; Carnivora; Felidae. The record is from RNAcentral.
CCGGGCGGGGCCGGGGCCGGGGCGGGCCUUGCUCCCCCACUACCCCCGGCUGCGCCCGCGGCUCCGGAAACGCGCCGCGGGGCUGCUGGGCUCAGCCGCGCGCGGGCGGCUCCGUGGCGUUUCCUGCCACGCCGGGCCUGCCUGGGCCUCGCCAACGCCGCUCCGCCGAGGUCCGCGCGUCGGCCGCCACGGGGCCGGGCUCUGCCUGCCCCCCCAGGGUCUUGCCCUUCCCCAGGAUGGACCCCCAGGAAACCAGGUCCUGGCAGGCCCUCUUGAGAUCCUUGAGGCCCAGGAUUCAGUGACAUUUGAUGACGUGGCCCAGUACCUCACAAAAAAGGAGCGCCUGAGACUGGACGCUGAGCAGAGGACACUGGCAUACUACAGGAAUGUGAACUCCGUGGGCACUGAGGAGUGUGAGCAGGCAGAAAGGGAGGACCAGCUCUUCACAACAAGUCCCUGGCACUCCACCCAGGAGUUCCUGUUUUGAUUGCUGCCUGGCUCCUCACCUGGUACAAGGCCACGUGGUGCUGGCAUCUGAGCCAUCCCUGAACACAGACUGAGGUAAGCAUUCCGCUGAGUGCAAAAGAACCCCGGAAAGUGCGAAGAAACUGUGGAGGAGGCCCCCGCCGAGCCUUUGGGGAGGGGGUGUGGCUGCUUCUCAGUCACAGGAGGGGAGACCUCCUCAGCACCCCUUUGGUAGGGGGCGUCCAGCAGUGACA